This is a long non-coding RNA of Pan troglodytes (chimpanzee), 8111 nucleotides long. RefSeq lists it as uncharacterized. Lineage: Eukaryota; Metazoa; Chordata; Mammalia; Primates; Hominidae. The transcript is spliced from 4 exons. The record is from RefSeq and is a predicted model, not a curated record.
GCUACCUACCACCUCUUUCCCACAGUGGAAGCAGAGAUUGGUGAUUAAUAUCCUCUGUCCUGCGGGGGAAAAAAAUUCAUGAUGUCAGAAAAUGAGUGAGUCAACAGAAACCCUACCUAAGAGUCUCCUUGGCUGAGGAGGAAGACGAAAGCACAGUUCUGAGCAUGAGAGCUCACAUUCUGUUUCUACCAGGUGCUUGAAGAAAAGCAAGACAGGUGGUUAAGACUGAAGAGUUGAUCCUGCGCUGUGCUGUGGAGUGGGCAGCUUCUCUCCAUCUUCUCUCACCCUGACAGACUGUCUUAGGAUUCCAGUCUCAGAAGCCAGCUAGGCCUAUGGAGUUGUUACAAGGAAACAUCAUCUUCUGCGAGGAUAAGGCCAAUAAGCCAGGAUGGUUUUGACAUCUGCCUGAUGUGGAUCUCAUCUCCUUGCAACAGACUCUCACCUGUAAAGAAGGCUGUAAGAACUGCUAAGGGAACUGCUCCAAUUUCUCCUAUGCAGAGAAGCACUCUGUGGUCUCUGCUCUAGCACUCUAUAGUAGACUUGUGAGAAUAAAUAUUUAGUUAAGCCUAAGCUUCCUUUUUUGGCACUGCACGUAUCAGGAUCGGUUGCUCUGAAAGCAAACUAAGAUAAUAUACAUAAAUUGCUUUGUACAUAAGUUCUCUUUGUGCAAAAGACCUAGACUUUUCCAGCUUCACCAACUCUUACAUUUGGAAUGUCUUUGGCUUGAAUACAGUUCUAAGUAAAAUAGUACCCUAUAUGUUGUCCCCUCAUCCAUAAUUUCAUUUCUAGCCUUGUUCCAAGACUUCUGAGCUCAAUUGUUUCCUCCACUAACAAUCUUUAAGUGGUUCAUCUGAACCAGAAAAAUGCCCCAAUCUUCCUUGUGUUCUCAUUGUAAGGUCUGGGACAAAGUAAAAUCCUUUAAUUAUUGGAUAAUACACUCUUUAAAACUAAAAGCUAGGACAUGUUCUUAUUUGCACUCUUUACAAGAAUUCCAUAUCAGUUUGUUGACUUGACCGGUGUAAUGAUUCAUUUUAUUGCUUGCUGAAAAGAUAGUCAAAAAUCAUACAAGUGAGAGAUAAAAGAUACAACUUAAAAAAAUAUUGUUUCACUUAGGCAACCACAAAGAAAUGCUUACAAAUAAUUUUCUUUAUAAAGGUAUUAAAAAUCACAUCUUAGUCUUUAAUAAUGUGUUUGCUUAGUGUUUUAAUUAAAAUAAUAAGAUACUUUAGAAAGGAUAUGCUAUAUUUGCAUUUAACCAAAGUAUCUGAAUAAAAAGAAACAAAAAUAAAUGAUUUCAGUGUCUUAGAAACAAUACUUUCUUUGGCCCUGUUAGUUUUUUAAUUGAUUUUUUUCAUAUCUGAUGACGCAGAACCUGUUGUCAUAUAGACAUGGCUAUAGUUUGCCUCAAAGAGAGCUAAUAUUUCAUAAUAUCGUUCAUCAAGUAUAUUUAUGCAUAUAUAUGUUUAAAAUAAAGAAAAAAAAACAAAAAAAAACCCUACUCAUUAAGGAUAGACUAAACACAACUUAAUAUAUGCAGUCCCCAAAUUAAUGAGUAGCUAGGAAGUAAAAGACAGAGAGUUAACUCCAUGGAGAAAAGGUCACACAAAUUUUUCUUAACCACAUUUUAAAGGAGUUUCCAGAUUUCAAUAACUGAACAUAACAAAAAUGCUAAAAUAAAUUUAAUAAAAUCUGCAACACAAACCUCCAAAAAUCAUUAGAGAAUGUAAUCAGUAGAAUUCCCAAAAAUAUUUCUAAAAAUUUCCAUUCUUGUAUAGUUUCUUAGUAGCCAUUUUUGCAAAGUGCUAUCAUUACAGGUUUCCACAGUAGGAUGCUGGGAGCCAUCAGCUACUUUGUUCACUGAGAGACAAGACUGGGUGAUUAUAUGAAGAAGAGUGUGGGUCUGUUUGACAAAGAAAAUAAUGAAUAAUGACAAAAUCAAGUACAAAGACAGUAAUAAAUCAAUCAUCCUAGGCAACAUGCAAUUUCUACUGGAUAAAGAUGGAAGGCACAUGUCACAAUAAUUGUAUCCAUGGAGCUGUGAGCCAUAUUUUUUUAGAUGGCUUUAAUAUCAACCCUAUAAGGAAGGAGUAAAUGAAGAUAAGACUGAGAAUAUGGAGAGGGGCUUAUGAUUAAAUAAUGAAAUAUUUUUGGCAAAAGGUUAUUUUAGAUAUAAAAGAUUAUAUUCUCAGCCUUCAUCCUAGUAAUACAAUGCUUUUUAAUACCAGAUGAGUUAUUUGUGAGUGGAUAUUCAAAAUAGUUGAUUAGUCCAACUAUGGUCCUUGGCCUCCUCAUUCUUUCACCCUAAAAUUAAAUAAAUAUCCGGGACAAAUUCGGAGGAUAAUUUAGCUUUAAGGCUUUACUUUGAACAGUAUGGUACUCAAAUUGCUCCCACUUAUGUUUUUACAAGGCUAACCUGGUUGUGUUCCACAUGUACAUUGCCACCUUUGUUAGAUGUCAAUUAGAAAGGUAGAUAAUGAAGGGAGGAAAAAGAAAAAGAUUAACUCUUAAUCUAAUUCUCCAAACAAUUUUAAUUCAUUAAUUUAUCUGUCUGUUUCUUGCUCUCCAUCUAUUUCCUCCAUAGGAACAUAAGCUCCAGGAAAGCCACAGACUAUGGCCACCUACAUCUUGAAGCUCAGUGCCUGCCCUUGGGAGACACUAAAGAAAGGGUCUCACUAUACUGCCCAGGCUGGCCUCGAACUCCUGGGCUCUAGCAAUCCUCCCAUCUCAGCUUGCCAAGUAGCUGGUACUACAGGCCCAUGCCACUACAUCCAGCUAUAUUAACUCAACUUUGAAGACAAUGUGACAUCCAGGCUGACAUGCAACUUACUGCCAAAUAUAUUUUCCUAUAGCUUUAUUUAAAAUAUUGACUAAAAAUAGGAUCAUCUAAACCCUAAGAUAGUAUUGAGUUUUGUUAAUAAUAUAGUAUUACUUUAUUGUUCUCCUCUAGAAUGUAAAGCCUUGGUAUUGCCUGCAAUGUAGAAUAUUUUAAUCAUAACAUGUAAAAAUACAUAAGAAAAAUAUUAACGAUUCGUGCCUUUAAAUAUAUUUGCAAGUUUGACUAACAUAAAAUGUAGCGUGGAGUAUCUCUAACUUUACCCUUCCAAAUAUAUAAUUCCUACUUAAAGCCAACUGGAAUCAGGCUAAACAAUUUUGGUGACAAAAUAAGAGCCAUUAAUAUUGUAAAAUUAGGCCAUACCUUGGUAUUAAAACAUACUAAUUUAAAAAAGUAGAUAUUUUAAUGAACUGACUGCAUAGUUGAUUUAAGAGCCAAUCGCACAGGUCUCAGUUUAAAAGUUGGUAUAGUAAAAGAUUAAAAUAAAACCCAAUCAAUUAUGUUAUUACAUAUAAUCAUAUACAAAAUAAGUAUAAAUUUGUACUAUUAUAUUUAAUUUAAUAGCAAAGAUAAUAGGAGUUCUUCUGUUAAUCAAGCAUAGAAUAACAAUUAAAAAUUAAUAUAACAAAGUUGUUACUCAAAACAUUAAUUAUGAUCUCCAGACAAGGUAAUCUACGCAUUCAGUUGAACAGAAAUAUUAUAAAAUAUGAAGUGUAAUCAUUUAACAUAUAGGAACUACAAAUAUGACGCUAAUCUAUUGAAAUUCCUACUCACUACUUCUAAUAAGAAAUCACAGCUAUGGGUCAAAAGGAAUAUGGAAAGGUAAUACCUGUGUAAUGCACACAACCUUCAAAAGGUAAAUUGAGCCAUUGUUUUUCUUAGGAAUGCUACACAGGGGAAUGGCUGGGAUGCACUUAAAGAUCACUUACCUUGAAAUUAUAAUCCCAUUUACCUGCUCUCUAAUAAAGGUAAAUAAAAGAUGGUAGUGUAAGUAAAGUCUAAAUAUUAAUCUAACACAUUUCACCUAUGGAAAAAAAUUCCUUAUAUUGUGACUCUGGAAAUUAUUUGAUACAGAUGUAUAUAGAAUUCACAACAAGUAUUUUCUAAGUCAACUUGCUCAGUCACAUGAAAAAUAAGUUAUUUUUAGCAUAUUUUUCUCCCUUUUUUUCUUUGUUGCAUAGUGUUUGUUGAACAUAAGUGUUCUGAUCUAAAAUUAGAUUCUCACACUGUAUGUAGCUGCCUAGUUAUUCAAAAAGAAAUGUAAUUAUGUGCACAUAUCAUAGGGAAAUAUUCUAAAUUGAUUGGAACAUAAUUAUAAUGUUCAAACAGAAUAUAAGAACACCUGAAAACAAUAGAAUGAAUGGAUGACAGCACUUUAUAAAAAUAAUUUUUAAAAUGUCUCAGUGAGAUGAAUUUUUUUCUUUUCAUUUAAUCCUGGCAAUAGGCAUUUCAUGGCACAGAAGGGUUUGUGCAAUUUAUUUAAGCUUCCAGACCACGUAGGUACCCCACAAUUUUGCUAAUGAUGCCCAGGAUGCCCUCAAUUCAAACAGGUUAGGCCACAUAUAAGAUGACAGUGAAUUGAAUUCGUGGUUAUUUAAGAACUAUUUAGUUAGGGGUGUGAGAAACUACAUUUGAAAUCAAAGUUGACCAAAGAAGUGCAUUUAUUACUAACACGUGCUUAGUUUCAUUCAAUUACAAGGAUAAGCAAUUAGAUAUUAUAUUAUGAAUAUGUAUAGCUGAAGUUUGUAAGCAAUUAGAGCAAAAUGACAAAGUAGUUUUAUGACUGCUUAUUUAGCUAAAUAGACUAUAUUUAUUGUAGAACAUCUUUCCCCCUAUUAAAAAAAUGAGAAAUUUUAUUUCAAAAUUUGGCAUAACAAAUAACUGAUAGCAUUUAGCUAUUCCAUUUGAAAUACUGUAUAUUUAGCUUAUUAUAUCUUAACCACUGAAAGAAUCUAAUUAUUUCCAGUCUUUCGAUAACAUCAAGAGGCAAUGUAGUGUAGUAGAAAAAUUGCUGGAUUUACUGCCAGAAUCUGGCAGUGCAAACUUAAACGAGGCAUUUACCCUAUGCUUCAUUUUACUAAUGUGAAAAAUAGAAUAUCUGUCUUAUAAGACUAUUGUAAGAAUUGCAUGAGAAAACAGAUAAAUACGUGUUGAACUGUAUUCCUUCUCUUUUCCCCCACUCACCUAAGAAGUAAACAAAACCAAAGUAGCUGGAUAGAUUCCAUCUUUUGAGGCUUCAUGACACUGUUUCCAUUUUUCUCUGGAUAUUCCAACAAUCUUGCUUCUAUUUAUGACUUUCUUUUCUAAGAUUGAAAGGACUAUGGGAGAUAAGGUGAUGGAAUAUUUGUGCUGUUCACAUGGUGAGAUUCACAAUUGUACUGAUAGCUAGCUUGCUUGGAAUACUUUAUUAGGACCUGAAUCCUAGCUCUGCUGCUAGCGGUGUAAUCUUUCCGCUUUAGUUCCUCCUGAUAAAGGCUUAAAGGAGAGAACUUUAAGGUACAUUUCAGUUCUGUAAUUCUAUGAACUCCAACAAUUUUUAUUCUGCCUUGAACCUGCACCACCUCAGAGAUUUUUCAAAGAAUAAUUUUGUCCUUGCUAGCAAAAGAUAAAGAAUUGAGUUAAAGUAGUAAGCAGUGCGCAUUUACUUUCCACAGGUUGGAAUAUGAGAAGAAUAGAACCACUGAGCAAUUAUUCUUCUUUCUCAUCUCAACACCUCUUAUCCUUUUGCUCCCUUUCCCUCUCUCUGCUCCCCUCUGGAGGCCUUGCCAUUUUCCAAAUUGUAUUCAUGCCUUUUCCUAAAUUUGUAACAUUCUUUAAUCAGUGUAUAAAAAGACUAUGGAAGAUACAUAGAUAAUUGACCCUGUCCUUUUCAAAUGUAAAUGUGUAUAUGAAUGAUCGGAGAUUUUGUUAAAAUACAAACUUGGAUUCAGUGUGUUUAGCACGGGUUCGGAUCCUGCAUUUCUAACAAGUUCCCAGGUGACGCUACUACUCCUGGAAUCACCCUGUGGGUAGCAAGGGGUGGAACCAUUCUGUGAACUAAAGAAACCCUAAAUGUAAAACUUAAAAGCAUAGUAAUAAAUGUUAUAUUUCAAUUAUGUUUCAAAAAAAUCCUUUUUAACGACCUUCUCAAAAAUAUAAUCGCACAUCAAAGCUGAAAUUUCCAGAAAGGCAAUGUAUUAUUCCUACAAUUGCUCUAUUCUCGUGUCAUUUAUUAGAUUAUGAUCUAUGCAUUUUUUAAUUUGGCAAAGUGCUGUCAUUAGACAAUGUAAACAUCACUAGUUAAUUUUGAAAACAUAAACAUAUAAGAGAAUUUAAUUAAGCUAUAUAAUUCAGAUGAUCAAAUUAUUUAAAAUAAAAAUUUCUUAAUAUUUAUGGCAUUUUAUAAGCUUUUUGUGUGUGUGUUCCAAAGUCAAAGUAAACAUGACACAAAAUAUUAUAGUGCUCUGAAAUACUGCAACAGAUAACUACUAGUCAUCCAAAAGAGUAAAUUUAUAGAAAUCAUUUAUUUAUCUACCUAUGUGAAGCUACCUAUUUUUUUUCACUUUUUACUUAAAAUUCCUUAGUAUUCAAUAGCAUUGCUACUAGCUGACAGAAAAUGUAAACCAAAAUAUACACCAAAUUGUUAACACUAGUUAUUUGAGAAACGAAAGAAUUUGAGUUAUGACAUCGUUCACUCAAGAGUUAUGGAAAAGUUUAAAGAUUAAAAGUGGUAUUCUAAAAUUCCACACUGUUUGCUUUUAUAAAAAUGUAUACUAUCAUUCCCCUUUCUUAAUAAAUAUAUUCUAGAUUUUCUUAUUUUUAGCAUAAGCUCAGUAGAGUCCCAGGUUCCUGGUAGAAACGGAACAGUAACAACAACAAGAACAAGUUUUAUUUAAAAACAAAUAUCACUUACAGGAUUUCUACUAUAUCUGUACAUUUUACUGCACUUUUCCUCAUAGAAGAGAGUACUGAUGAAGGAUUUACCUACAUGUAUUUUGCAAAGGCACUGUUUUCUGUAGGCUUAAUAUCAAGGAUGGUACAAUAAAUAAUAGUUGAAGAGAAAAAAAUUGGUGGUCAGACAAGGUGAGUAAGAUAUAGCGAAGGCAAUAGCAUCUUAAUAGAACACACUGGUACAACAUAGGAAGAAUUCUCAGUGUUUGCCCUCAAUUAUGGCCCAGAAGAUGAUUUUGUGUCCUAAGAUCCUGGUAACACUGUAUGAGUGUUAGGCCCAAAAUUAACCCUGCAUAACCAGUUUCAAAUCCUAUGAGAAUUCAGUAAAUUUUUCUAAUAUUCAACUUAAGAAACUACAGACUCAUGCAAAUAUUAAAAUGACAUUCAAAAAGGUUUUUAAAAGGUCUUGCUAAAAUAUCAACAAUACCAAAAACUCUGUAGAUUGGUUUUUAAAAUGUUAUUCUUGUAGAAAAUUUUAGGCUUGCAUGGAAUACUGCAUCUGUGAGACUCAUUUACCUCUAUAGUAGCAUUUAUCUUUUAAGCAGAACGAAGUUUAGUUUUCCUUUUAAAUAAAUCACCUACCACUUAAUAAUGUGGGAAAUGUAACACAGACAACCAAUUCAUUUUGUUAAUCAAAAAAGAAAACUGAAAGAAAUGAAGCUGUUUUCAAGAGUAAGCUUCCUUAUGCAAAGGAAAAUAUUUCUUUUUUAUUAGCUCCAUCUGAUGGCUGAUCUGGUUUUUACACACUGCCUGGAGAUAAAUUUCCAACAGUAAUUUUGUGGUUUUCUCUCCCUCUUCUCUGUCAGAAAGGUGUGCUAUAUUGAGAAGAGGCUACUCAACUUUUUAUGUGACUAAUUAGUUUAUUGAAUUCUGCAAAAUAUUUACAAUUGUAAACAGUAAAGAAAUCUUGUUAAUCCUGUCAGAUAUUGUUCCUUCCAGUUGAGGAACAUAAAUGUCAGUGAUUAGUAUUGUAAAAUUUAAAAUUUGAAAAUAUGGACAUAUUGUCAAUAUUAUCCUGUAUGCACAUCUUCAUACAAACCUCUCAGAUAGGCUUAGCUUACCUCUUGCCUAAUUUAUGUUUGGCAUGUACAUGGAGAUAACAAGUUGUCAUACACAAAACUGAUUUUAUUGUCCUCAUUCAUAUUUUAUAUUAAUGGACCAAUUUGGUGAAACCUGUUUAUAUGAUAUGCCAUCCUAAUGUUACCGGAUAUGAGCCUGCAUGCUUGAAAAUCUAAUUCUGCCAAUGUAGAUAAAAACCAGCUUAAGAUUUAAAUGUUGAAUGUUGAAAUAUAUAACUGAGCUUAAGCAUCAAAUAAUAAGUAAAUUAAGAAAAUACUAUACCUCAGCA